AGGGUUCGAUUCUGGCUCAGGAUGAACGCUAGCGGCAGGCUUAACACAUGCAAGUCGAGGGGCAACGCGAGUAGCAAUACUUGGCGGCGACCGGCGCAAGGGUGCGUAACGCGUGAGCAACAUGCCCGUAUCAGGGGGAUAAUCCAGGGAAACUUGGUCUAAUACCCCAUAGUAAUUUUGUAAGGCAUCUUAUAAGAUUUAAAGCUUUGGUGGAUACGGAUUGGCUCGCGUGACAUUAGCUGGAUGGUAAGGUAACGGCUUACCAUGGCUAUGAUGUCUAGGGGUUCUGAGAGGAAGGUCCCCCACACUGGAACUGAGACACGGUCCAGACUCCUACGGGAGGCAGCAGUGAGGAAUAUUGGACAAUGGAUGGAAAUCUGAUCCAGCCAUGCCGCGUGAAAGGAAGAAGGUCCUAUGGAUUGUAAACUUCUUUUGUAUGGGAGCAAUAAGGCCUACGAGUAGGUUGAUGAGAGUACCAUACGAAUAAGCACCGGCUAACUCCGUGCCAGCCGCCGC
RNAcentral lists this ribosomal RNA (516 nucleotides) under uncultured bacterium. RNAcentral describes it as "bacterial SSU rRNA". It matches the Rfam family "Bacterial small subunit ribosomal RNA", at positions 8 to 518 of the family's 1533-position model. The record is from RNAcentral.